This 461-nucleotide ribosomal RNA is filed under the name uncultured Gammaproteobacteria bacterium. RNAcentral's name for it is "bacterial SSU rRNA". It matches the Rfam family "Bacterial small subunit ribosomal RNA", at positions 1068 to 1532 of the family's 1533-position model. Lineage: Bacteria; Pseudomonadati; Pseudomonadota; Gammaproteobacteria. The record is from RNAcentral.
UGAGAGUUGGGUUAGUCCGUAACGAGCGCGACCCUUAUCCUUAUUUGCCAGCACGUCAUGGUGGGAACUAUAAGGAGACUGCCGGUGAUAAACCGGAGGAAGGCGGGGGCGACGUCAAGUCAUCAUGGCCCUUACGACCAGGGCUACACACGUGCUACAAUGGGAAGGACAAAGAGCCGCGAAGCCGCGAGGUGUAGCUAAUCUCAGAAACCUUUUCGUAGUCCGGAUUGGAGUCUGCAACUCGACUCCAUGAAGUCGGAAUCGCUAGUAAUCGUAGAUCAGAAUGCUACGGUGAAUACGUUCCCGGGUCUUGUACACACCGCCCGUCAUACCAUGGGAGUGGGUUGCACCAGAAGUGGCUAGUCUAACUUAGUGAGGACGGUCACCACGGUGUGAUUCAUGACUGGGGUAAAGUCGUAACAAGGUAGCCCUACCGGAAGGUGGGGCUGGAUCACCUCCUU